Molecule: non-coding RNA, 91 nt
Filed under: Gammaproteobacteria bacterium
Lineage: Bacteria; Pseudomonadati; Pseudomonadota; Gammaproteobacteria
Description: c-di-GMP sequence
Rfam family: c-di-GMP-I riboswitch aptamer
About the family: GEMM was predicted in a large-scale screen for bacterial structured RNA regulatory elements. Genes associated with GEMM are involved in a diverse array of functions, including chemotaxis regulation, signal transduction, secretion and chitin.
Source: RNAcentral
UUCUGCUAGGGGCAAGCCCAAUCGAAAGAUGGGUACGCAAAGCCACCGGCCUAAGGCGUCUUGUGGACGCUAAGGCAGCGGGGUUGCCAGA